AUGAGAGUUUGAUCCUGGCUCAGGACGAACGCUGGCGGCGUGCCUAAUACAUGCAAGUAGAACGCUGAGGUUUGGUGUUUACACUAGACUGAUGAGUUGCGAACGGGUGAGUAACGCGUAGGUAACCUGCCUCAUAGCGGGGGAUAACUAUUGGAAACGAUAGCUAAUACCGCAUAAGAGUAAUUAACACAUGUUGGUUAUUUAAAAGGAGCAAUUGCUUCACUGUGAGAUGGACCUGCGUUGUAUUAGCUAGUUGGUGAGGUAAAGGCUCACCAAGGCGACGAUACAUAGCCGACCUGAGAGGGUGAUCGGCCACACUGGGACUGAGACACGGCCCAGACUCCUACGGGAGGCAGCAGUAGGGAAUCUUCGGCAAUGGACGGAAGUCUGACCGAGCAACGCCGCGUGAGUGAAGAAGGUUUUCGGAUCGUAAAGCUCUGUUGUUAGAGAAGAACGUUGGUAGGAGUGGAAAAUCUACCAAGUGACGGUAACUAACCAGAAAGGGACGGCUAACUACGUGCCAGCAGCCGCGGUAAUACGUAGGUCCCGAGCGUUGUCCGGAUUUAUUGGGCGUAAAGCGAGCGCAGGCGGUUCUUUAAGUCUGAAGUUAAA
RNAcentral lists this ribosomal RNA (612 nucleotides) under Streptococcus agalactiae LMG 14838. RNAcentral's name for it is "bacterial SSU rRNA". It matches the Rfam family "Bacterial small subunit ribosomal RNA", at positions 1 to 599 of the family's 1533-position model. The record is from RNAcentral. Lineage: Bacteria; Bacillati; Bacillota; Bacilli; Lactobacillales; Streptococcaceae.